AAUCCAUAGGUUAAUGAGGCGAACCGGGGGAACUGAAACAUCUAAGUACCCCGAGGAAAAGAAAUCAACCGAGAUUCCCCCAGUAGCGGCGAGCGAACGGGGAGGAGCCCAGAGCCUGAAUCAGCAUGUGUGUUAGUGGAAGCGUCUGGAAAGGCGCGCGAUACAGGGUGACAGCCCCGUACACAAAAGCGCAUGUGCUGUGAGCUCGAUGAGUAGGGCGGGACACGUGGUAUCCUGUCUGAAUAUGGGGGGACCAUCCUCCAAGGCUAAAUACUCCUGACUGACCGAUAGUGAACCAGUACCGUGAGGGAAAGGCGAAAAGAACCCCGGCGAGGGGAGUGAAAAAGAACCUGAAACCGUGUACGUACAAGCAGUGGGAGCACAGGUUUACCUGUGUGACUGCGUACCUUUUGUAUAAUGGGUCAGCGACUUAUAUUCUGUAGCAAGGUUAACCGAAUAGGGGAGCCGGAGGGAAACCGAGUCUUAAUUGGGCGUUAAGUUGCAGGGUAUAGACCCGAAACCCGGUGAUCUAGCCAUGGGCAGGUUGAAGGUUGGGUAACACUAACUGGAGGACCGAACCGACUAAUGUUGAAAAAUUAGCGGAUGACCUGUGGCUGGGGGUGAAAGGCCAAUCAAACCGGGAGAUAGCUGGUUCUCCCCGAAAGCUAUUUAGGUAGCGCCUCGUGAAUUCAUCUCCGGGGGUAGAGCACUGUUUCGGCUAGGGGGCCAUCCCGGCUUACCAACCCGAUGCAAACUGCGAAUACCGGAGAAUGUUAUCACGGGAGACACACGGCGGGUGCUAACGUCCGUCGUGAAGAGGGAAACAACCCAGACCGCCAGCUAAGGUCCCAAAGUCAUGGUUAAGUGGGAAACGAUGUGGGAAGGCCCAGACAGCCAGGAUGUUGGCUUAGAAGCAGCCAUCAUUUAAAGAAAGCGUAAUAGCUCACUGGUCGAGUCGGCCUGCGCGGAAGAUGUAACGGGGCUAAACCAUGCACCGAAGCUGCGGCAGCGACACUCAGGUGUUGUUGGGUAGGGGAGCGUUCUGUAAGCCUGCGAAGGUGGCCUGUGAGGGUUGCUGGAGGUAUCAGAAGUGCGAAUGCUGACAUAAGUAACGAUAAAGCGGGUGAAAAGCCCGCUCGCCGGAAGACCAAGGGUUCCUGUCCAACGUUAAUCGGGGCAGGGUGAGUCGACCCCUAAGGCGAGGCCGAAAGGCGUAGUCGAUGGGAAACGGGUUAAUAUUCCCGUACUUGGUGUUACUGCGAAGGGGGGACGGAGAAGGCUAUGUUGGCCGGGCGACGGUUGUCCCGGUUUAAGCGUGUAGGUGUGUGUUCCAGGUAAAUCCGGUUCACUUUAACACUGAGGCGUGAUGACGAGGCACUACGGUGCUGAAGCAACAAAUGCCCUGCUUCCAGGAAAAGCCUCUAAGCAUCAGGUAACAUCAAAUCGUACCCCAAACCGACACAGGUGGUCAGGUAGAGAAUACCAAGGCGCUUGAGAGAACUCGGGUGAAGGAACUAGGCAAAAUGGUGCCGUAACUUCGGGAGAAGGCACGCUGACAUGUAGGUGAAGUGAUUUACUCAUGGAGCUGAAGUCAGUCGAAGAUACCAGCUGGCUGCAACUGUUUAUUAAAAACACAGCACUGUGCAAACACGAAAGUGGACGUAUACGGUGUGACGCCUGCCCGGUGCCGGAAGGUUAAUUGAUGGGGUCAGCGCAAGCGAAGCUCCUGAUCGAAGCCCCGGUAAACGGCGGCCGUAACUAUAACGGUCCUAAGGUAGCGAAAUUCCUUGUCGGGUAAGUUCCGACCUGCACGAAUGGCGUAAUGAUGGCCAGGCUGUCUCCACCCGAGACUCAGUGAAAUUGAACUCGCUGUGAAGAUGCAGUGUACCCGCGGCAAGACGGAAAGACCCCGUGAACCUUUACUAUAGCUUGACACUGAACAUUGAGCCUUGAUGUGUAG
Molecule: ribosomal RNA, 1960 nt
Filed under: Salmonella enterica subsp. enterica serovar Infantis
Lineage: Bacteria; Pseudomonadati; Pseudomonadota; Gammaproteobacteria; Enterobacterales; Enterobacteriaceae
Description: partial 23S ribosomal RNA
Rfam family: Bacterial large subunit ribosomal RNA
Source: RNAcentral